Oncorhynchus kisutch (coho salmon) is the source of this 846-nucleotide long non-coding RNA. RefSeq lists it as uncharacterized. The record is from RefSeq and is a predicted model, not a curated record. Lineage: Eukaryota; Metazoa; Chordata; Actinopteri; Salmoniformes; Salmonidae. The transcript has 3 exons.
UGCAUACGGUAGUUGUUAACGCUUAAGCACUCAGACCAAGUUAUUAGUAACAGAGGUCAUGGAAAUUCAUAUCUCAAAAGGAUUGCACCUGAUUGACGAGUAAAUGGAAUUGGUAUGCUAAACAAUGGAUUGAUACAGAUACUCAUGAUAUUCUGCCAGGGGGGUGUUUCCUUACUAGCUGGCAGGCGUCAACAUGUCCCUAUCCCAGGCUGUAGUCCCCACAUGCUACAACCACCAUCGUUCCAGUGUCGAAGAACACCAAGUCAUCGACACCGUUGCAGUGCAUGAGCUGGGGCAGGCACAUGCUCAGGUUGCCACAAGGAAAAUAUCCUAGGGGGCAGUUCGUCUUCUCCUCUGAGACGUUGAACGAAGUUCCUGCUGAAAAUUCAAGAGCUGUGUUUCAAUAUCAAAGUUGGUGUCUCUCGAUGAGGGUGAACACAUACUAUACUGAACAAAAAUAUAAACACAACAUGUUAAGUACAUGUUGUGUUUUAUGAGCUGAAAUGUUUUAUGAGCUGAAAUAAAAAUCUCAGGGAUUUUCCCUACUUAUUUCUUUCAAACUUUGUGAACACAUUUGUUUACAUCCCUGUUAGUGAGCAUUUCUCCUUUGCCAAGAUAAUCCAUCCACCUGACAGGUAUGGAAUAUCAAGAAGCUGAUUGCACAGCAUGAUCAUUACACAGGUGCAUCUUGUGCUGGGGACAAUGCCACAGAUGUGUAUAGUUUUGAGGGAGCCUGCAAUUGGCACGCUGACUGCAUGAAUGUCCAACAGAGCUGUAGCUAGAGAAUUUUAUGUUAAUUUCUCUAUGAUAAACUGCCUCCAAAGUCAUUUUAGAGAAAUUGGCAGU